RNAcentral lists this ribosomal RNA (346 nucleotides) under Juglans environmental sample. RNAcentral describes it as "partial 18S ribosomal RNA". The stretch from base 298 to 346 matches the Rfam family "5.8S ribosomal RNA", at positions 1 to 49 of the family's 154-position model. The record is from RNAcentral. Lineage: Eukaryota; Viridiplantae; Streptophyta; Magnoliopsida; Fagales; Juglandaceae.
UCCGUAGGUGAACCUGCGGAAGGAUCAUUGUCGAUACCUGCCCAGCAGAACGACCUGUGAACAUGUAAUAACCUUCUGGGUGGGGGUGUAAUGCCCCCUCCCAAAAAACGGUUGGGAGGGCACGUUGAGAUAUGCCCACCGCUCCUCGUGUGUGGUUGGUCAAUCUUCUCGUUCCCUUCCCGAUCGAACAAUGAACCCCGGCGCGGUCUGCGCCAAGGAACUUAAACAAGGAGUAACCACGAGCGCCCCGGAAACGGUGUGCGCGUUGUUGGUGACAUCUUUACCAUGAUACAUAACGACUCUCGGCAACGGAUAUCUCGGCUCUCGCAUCGAUGAAGAACGCAGC